GAGGGUAUAGCUCAGUGGUAGAGCACAUGCUUAGCAUGCACAAGGUCCUGGGUUCAAUCUGCAGUACCUCCU
This is a transfer RNA of Camelus ferus (Wild Bactrian camel), 72 nucleotides long. It matches the Rfam family "tRNA". Rfam says of the family: Transfer RNA (tRNA) molecules are approximately 80 nucleotides in length. Their secondary structure includes four short double-helical elements and three loops (D, anti-codon, and T loops). Further hydrogen bonds mediate the characteristic L-shaped molecular structure. tRNAs have two regions of fundamental functional importance: the anti-codon, which is responsible for specific mRNA codon recognition, and the 3' end, to which the tRNAs corresponding amino acid is attached (by aminoacyl-tRNA synthetases). tRNAs cope with the degeneracy of the genetic code in two manners: having more than one tRNA (with a specific anti-codon) for a particular amino acid; and 'wobble' base-pairing, i.e. permitting non-standard base-pairing at the 3rd anti-codon position. The record is from Rfam. Lineage: Eukaryota; Metazoa; Chordata; Mammalia; Artiodactyla; Camelidae.